CUAUUUCUCCGCUUCAAAGGUUAACAAAAACCUACACGAAAUACAAGUUAUUCAAGUUAGCUUCCAUUACCAACUUCUUGUGAGUUCUCCAUCAUGUAUUCCAAACAUGGUUUUAAAUAACGGGUUCUCCAUCAUGUAUUCCAAACAUGGUUUUAAAUAACGGCCGUUACGUAACAUAAUGGCCGUUACGUAACGUAAUGGCCGUUACGUAACGUAACGGCCGUUAUGUAACGGAUUUUGGAGGGCUGUUACCCGUUAUCCCGUUAUACAACGGCCCCUCCUGAUUUGCAGGCGUAACGGCCGUUACGUAACAGUAACGGUAACGGCCGUUACCGACCGUUACAUAACGGUAACGGCCAUUACCAAUAAUUAAAAUUUUUUUAUAUCCUUUAUUUUCUGCUCCCUAAUCUCAUUUUCUUUAGUUUCUACACUUUUCAGCAGCUCUAAAAACUACAUUUUUUAAGUUUUCUCUUUCCUUUCUCUUUCAAAUUUCAAUCUUCCCUGCAUAUUUCUCGUAUAAACUUAGAUCCAUUAUAAACUACUCUAUUUCCAAGUUUAUUUCUUCUAAAAAGUUAGUUAAAUUUUAUCUAUUUUAGUUUUUAAUUGUUGUCUUUUUCCCCUUUUUUUAUAAGUUUUUGUGGAUUAAAGUUUUAGUUUUGAUUAAAAUUAUACUUUGAGCUAUUAGUUUACUCGAUCUACAAAGAUUAUGUUAAUUUUUCUAAUUUUAAACUAUAUGAUGUUUAACUUAAGUUAAAUAAUUUAUAUUUUAUAUAUUUAUGUUUUGUUAUGCAUUUGUAUAUAUUGUUCUGAAUUAAAUCUAAUCAAUAUCAUUUUAUUUAUGAACUUUGCAAAUUUUUUUUAAAAAUUUGCGUAGCGCCAGAGCGCUACCGUUACGUUAUGGCCAUUACAGGUCUGUUUUCGUUACUCGCGACCGCGAACGUGGCCGCGACCGCGAUUUAAAACCAUGAUUCCAAAAGAGCAGAAGAUAUAAGGGAACAAGAAGUUCUAAGAACAUAUAUUCAUGGAUUUACCUCCUGGCAUAACUCCUGUACCACCAGCAAUACCUGCAGCAGUAUUUGCAACAAGGUUGCCAUAAAGAUU
This 1101-nucleotide long non-coding RNA is filed under the name Manihot esculenta (cassava). Its description in RNAcentral is "long non-coding RNA (MESC_LNC000867)". Lineage: Eukaryota; Viridiplantae; Streptophyta; Magnoliopsida; Malpighiales; Euphorbiaceae. The record is from RNAcentral.